RNAcentral lists this ribosomal RNA (253 nucleotides) under uncultured bacterium. RNAcentral describes it as "partial 16S ribosomal RNA". It matches the Rfam family "Bacterial small subunit ribosomal RNA", at positions 524 to 776 of the family's 1533-position model. The record is from RNAcentral.
UACGGAGGGGGCUAGCGUUGUUCGGAAUUACUGGGCGUAAAGCGCGCGUAGGUGGUUUGUUAAGUUGGAUGUGAAAUCCCCGGGCUCAACCUGGGAACUGCAUUCAAAACUGACAAGCUAGAGUAUGGUAGAGGGUGGUGGAAUUUCCUGUGUAGCGGUGAAAUGCGUAGAUAUAGGAAGGAACACCAGUGGCGAAGGCGACCACCUGGACUGAUACUGACACUGAGGUGCGAAAGCGUGGGGAGCAAACAGG